GGUUUAGGGUUUAGGGCUUUGGUUUUUAUUAAGUUUAGGGAUUUAGGUUAAGGGUUUUAUCUGCGAUUUUAUGGUUUAGGGCUUUGGGUUUUUAAGUUAAGGUUUUUAUCGUAGUUCUUAGGGUUUAGGCUUAGAGCUUUUUUAGGAUUAGGAUUUUAGGUUAUGGGUUUUUUCUAGAUUUUUAGUGUUUCAAGCUUUUAAGGGCUUAAUAGGGUUUAUAACUUAGAGU
RNAcentral lists this long non-coding RNA (229 nucleotides) under Solanum tuberosum (potato). Its description in RNAcentral is "long non-coding RNA (STUB_LNC000785)". The record is from RNAcentral. Lineage: Eukaryota; Viridiplantae; Streptophyta; Magnoliopsida; Solanales; Solanaceae.